Molecule: long non-coding RNA, 918 nt
Organism: Cheilinus undulatus (humphead wrasse)
Lineage: Eukaryota; Metazoa; Chordata; Actinopteri; Labriformes; Labridae
Exons: 5
Source: RefSeq, a predicted model, not a curated record
CGCACCUGAAGGCCACUGAGCAGUCGAUAUGGCGGCACUCAAAAUGGAAGGACAUUGCAUAUUUAUUUGGAUUCAUCAUUUAUGGACCUCUGCCAAGGGGCAAGUGAAGAGGAGGAGAGUAUCCUGAUGGAUCAAUCAAGAUCCAGUGUUGACAUGCAACAGGAAGUGAUGGAUGCUCUCAGAGAAAUACCAGCCUCAGUCAAGUGUGUCAAAGAUCUUAUUACAACCAUGAAGAGAAUGCCACCUGUCAUGGACACUGACAGUACAAGUUCUGGUUCUUCCAGUCCUGCUCCAGAAAUGUUCUGCAAGCCGUUGUUGCUAAACGUUUUAAUCACGAUGGUGAUGACGUCAUUGCCUGCGAGCGAAAAGAGCAGCUACAUCCAGAAAAGCUGAGUGCCCUUGUUGAUACAGUCAUUGCUGAAUUUCCAGGAACAAAUGUGUUUGAUGUGAGAGCAGUGGUUCGAAGAAAAUGUAACAAUGAGAAUUUUGUGUCCAAAAAAAACCCCCAGUAAGUGAUUGUACUUUUUGUUUGUUUCUUUGUUUUUUGGUGGACAUAAAUUUGAAACAGUUUGUUUAAACUCCAAAUGUUCUUGUACGAAAGUUUCAAAAGUGAGUUUCAUGUUCAUCACUGUCAUUAUUAGGUUUACACAUAAAAUUUAAGACACAAUUCACUAGCUACUCUAUGGUGCACAGUUAGCAGUGCAGUACUAGCACGUCUUCUUUAAGAGUAUUACUAAAAAGAAUUGUUUGGGGUCAAAUGAUCCAAAGUGGAAUAAAAAUGUUACGAUGAAGAGAAACUGUUUGAAAAUGUUGUUAAGAUGUACCAAUACUAAACUGUACAUCUGGAAUUUGCACUUAAAUGUACUGUAAUUAUGCACAUUUUCCUGUAAUGUUAAAAAUAAACUUUUUUCAAACUUU